AUUGAACGCUGGCGGCAGGCUUAACACAUGCAAGUCGAGCGAGCGGCGGACGUGUGAGUAAUGUCGGGGACACUGCCUUAUGGAGGGGGAUAACUACUGGAAACGGUAGCUAACACCGCAUACCAUCAUAUGUUCCCAGAUGGGAUGAGCUAGUAGGUGGGGUAAUGGCUCACCUAGGAGACGAUCCCUAGCUGGUCUGAGAGGAUGACCAGCCACACUGGAACUGAGACACGGUCCAGACUCCUACGUGAGGCAGCAGUGGGGAAUAUUGCACAAUGGGCGCAAGCCUGAUGCAGCCAUGCCGCGUGUGUGAAGAAGGCCUUCGGGUUGUAAAGCACUUUCAGCGAGGAGGCGUUACUCGCAGAAGAAGCACCGGCUAACUCCGUGCCAGCAGCCGCGGUAAUUC
This 406-nucleotide ribosomal RNA is filed under the name uncultured bacterium. Its description in RNAcentral is "partial 16S ribosomal RNA". It matches the Rfam family "Bacterial small subunit ribosomal RNA", at positions 30 to 526 of the family's 1533-position model. The record is from RNAcentral.